CGGGACACGUGGUAUCCUGUCUGAAUAUGGGGGGACCAUCCUCCAAGGCUAAAUACUCCUGACUGACCGAUAGUGAACCAGUACCGUGAGGGAAAGGCGAAAAGAACCCCGGCGAGGGGAGUGAAAAAGAACCUGAAACCGUGUACGUACAAGCAGUGGGAGCACGCUUAGGCGUGUGACUGCGUACCUUUUGUAUAAUGGGUCAGCGACUUAUAUUCUGUAGCAAGGUUAACCGAAUAGGGGAGCCGAAGGGAAACCGAGUCUUAACUGGGCGUUAAGUUGCAGGGUAUAGACCCGAAACCCGGUGAUCUAGCCAUGGGCAGGUUGAAGGUUGGGUAACACUAACUGGAGGACCGAACCGACUAAUGUUGAAAAAUUAGCGGAUGACUUGUGGCUGGGGGUGAAAGGCCAAUCAAACCGGGAGAUAGCUGGUUCUCCCCGAAAGCUAUUUAGGUAGCGCCUCGUGAAUUCAUCUCCGGGGGUAGAGCACUGUUUCGGCAAGGGGGUCAUCCCGACUUACCAACCCGAUGCAAACUGCGAAUACCGGAGAAUGUUAUCACGGGAGA
Molecule: ribosomal RNA, 566 nt
Filed under: Escherichia coli
Lineage: Bacteria; Pseudomonadati; Pseudomonadota; Gammaproteobacteria; Enterobacterales; Enterobacteriaceae
Description: partial 23S ribosomal RNA
Rfam family: Bacterial large subunit ribosomal RNA
Source: RNAcentral